Molecule: unclassified non-coding RNA, 21 nt
Filed under: Mus musculus (house mouse)
Lineage: Eukaryota; Metazoa; Chordata; Mammalia; Rodentia; Muridae
Description: oocyte_clustered_small_RNA13070
Source: RNAcentral
AGUGUCGUGGUCUCCGAACUG